GCCUCUGUAGCUCAGUUGGUUAGAGCGCUGCACCGGAAUCGCAGGGCCGUAGGUUCAAUUCCUACCCAGAGGAC
This 74-nucleotide transfer RNA is filed under the name Paramuricea clavata. RNAcentral describes it as "tRNA-Ser". It matches the Rfam family "tRNA". Rfam says of the family: Transfer RNA (tRNA) molecules are approximately 80 nucleotides in length. Their secondary structure includes four short double-helical elements and three loops (D, anti-codon, and T loops). Further hydrogen bonds mediate the characteristic L-shaped molecular structure. tRNAs have two regions of fundamental functional importance: the anti-codon, which is responsible for specific mRNA codon recognition, and the 3' end, to which the tRNAs corresponding amino acid is attached (by aminoacyl-tRNA synthetases). tRNAs cope with the degeneracy of the genetic code in two manners: having more than one tRNA (with a specific anti-codon) for a particular amino acid; and 'wobble' base-pairing, i.e. permitting non-standard base-pairing at the 3rd anti-codon position. The record is from RNAcentral. Lineage: Eukaryota; Metazoa; Cnidaria; Anthozoa; Malacalcyonacea; Plexauridae.